This 364-nucleotide long non-coding RNA is filed under the name Sinocyclocheilus anshuiensis. Its description in RNAcentral is "lncRNA (ENSSANG00000029279.1)". Lineage: Eukaryota; Metazoa; Chordata; Actinopteri; Cypriniformes; Cyprinidae. The record is from RNAcentral.
CCAACAUGGCUGCCAUAACAAAUCGUUAACACAGAGCAACUAACCAAACUCUUUUGUAGUUUUCACUUUUGUAAAGUCUGUGUUACAGAGUGAAUGUUUUGGAGUUGAGCAACCAAUCACAGCUGAUGAGAAGAAUUGCUGCACGCCGGCUGUGUGACAAACCCCACAUGUCCUUACUCCAAACAUAAGAACCAGCUGCAGUUCACCUCACCCUCCGGAUGGACCACAAUAGAGGAGAAUCAUCCAGCACACAGAUAAGCAGGAAGGAUCAGAAUGGUCACCGACAUACAAUCUCGUCCAGCUCCAGCACUAGUGUGUUCGUCUCAUCCUCAUCCAUGAGGUUGGAGUUUCCAUCAGCAACGCG